AUUCCAGCUCCAAUAGCGUAUAUUAAAGUUGUUGCAGUUAAAACGCUCGUAGUCGGAUUUCGGGGCGGGCCGACCGGUCUGCCGAUGGGUAUGCACUGGCCGGCGCGUCCUUCCACCCGGAGACCGCGCCUACUCUUCACUGAGCGGGCGCGGGAGACGGGUCUUUUACUUUGAAAAAAUCAGAGUGUUUCAAGCAGGCAGUCGCUCUUGCAUGGAUUAGCAUGGGAUAAUGAAAUAGGACUCUGGUGCUAUUUUGUUGGUUUCGAACACCGGAGUAAUGAUUAACAGGGACAGUCAGGGGCACUCGUAUUCCGCCGAGAGAGGUGAAAUUCUCAGACCAGCGGAAGACGAACCACUGCGAAAGCAUUUGCCAGGGAUGUUUUCAUUA
Molecule: ribosomal RNA, 388 nt
Filed under: Gephyrocapsa sp.
Lineage: Eukaryota; Haptophyta; Isochrysidales; Noelaerhabdaceae
Description: partial small subunit ribosomal RNA
Rfam family: Eukaryotic small subunit ribosomal RNA
Source: RNAcentral